ACUGAGGUUUGAUUGUGGAAUCCUGUGGCCUGCGAACAUGACUGAGGUUUUAUUCUGGAACCCUGUGUCCUGGGAAUAUGACUGAGUUUUGAUUCUGGAACCAUGUGGCCUGGAAUAUGACUGAGAUUUGAUUAUGGAAAUCUGUGCCCUGGGAACGUAACUGAGGUUUGAUGGGAGAAAACUGUGGACUGGCAACAUGACUGAGGUUUGAUUGUGGAACCCUAUGCCCUGGAAACAUGACUGAGGCCUGGUACUGGAAACCCAUGGCCUGGGAACUUGACAUUGGUUUUAUUCUGGAACCCUGUGUCCUGGAACAUGACUGAGUUUGAUUCUGGAACCAUGUGGCCUGGGAAUAUGACUGAGGUUUGAUUCUGGAAACCAUUGGCCUGGGAACAUGACUGAUGUUAGAUUGUGGAAUCCUGUGGCCUGGGAACAUGACAUCGGUUUGGAUUCUGGUACCCUGUUGCCUGGGAACAUGAAAUCGGUUUGAUUCUGGAAACCUGUGGUCUGGGAAUAUGACUGAGGUUUGAUGGUGGUACCCUAUGGCCUGGCAACAUGACUGAGGUUUGAUUCUGGAUCCCUGUGGCCUGGGA
Long non-coding RNA from Balaenoptera musculus (blue whale), 593 nucleotides. RefSeq lists it as uncharacterized. The record is from RefSeq and is a predicted model, not a curated record. Lineage: Eukaryota; Metazoa; Chordata; Mammalia; Artiodactyla; Balaenopteridae. The transcript is spliced from 3 exons.